UAGUUAAGUGCUUGAAACUCAAAGAAUUUGGCGGUGUUUUAGUCCAUUCAGAGGAAUCUGCCCCGUGAUCGAUAGUUCACGAGUUAUUUUACUUAAUUUGGUAUAUCAGUUUGUAUACCGCCGUCAUCAGAUUAUCCUUUCAGGGUUUAAUUUUCUUGGAAUUUGAUUAGAGAGAAUGUCAGGUCAAGGUGCAGCUAAUGAUUAAGUGGAGGUGGAUUACAAUGGAAAUAUCUAUAUGGAUUUUGAUGUGAAAGUAUUAAUUGAAGGUGGAUUUGAUAGUAAUUUUGUUUAUUAACAAGUUGAUUUUGGCUCUAAAACAUGUACACAUCGCCCGUCGCUCUCGUUAUUAAGGUGAGAUAAGUCGUAACAAAGUAGAUGUACCGGAAGGUGUAUCUAGAAAGA
Molecule: ribosomal RNA, 402 nt
Filed under: Hemideina maori (mountain stone weta)
Lineage: Eukaryota; Metazoa; Arthropoda; Insecta; Orthoptera; Anostostomatidae
Description: partial 12S ribosomal RNA
Rfam family: Microsporidia small subunit ribosomal RNA
Source: RNAcentral